Molecule: ribosomal RNA, 516 nt
Filed under: uncultured Glomus
Lineage: Eukaryota; Fungi; Glomeromycota; Glomeromycetes; Glomerales; Glomeraceae
Description: SSU rRNA
Rfam family: Eukaryotic small subunit ribosomal RNA
Source: RNAcentral
AGCAGCCGCGGUAAUUCCAGCUCCAAUAGCGUAUAUUAAAGUUGUUGCAGUUAAAAAGCUCGUAGUUGAAUUUCGGGAUCAAUUUAUCGGUCGUGCCAAUGGUAUGAACUGGUACAAUUGGUUUCUCCCUUCUGACGAAGCAUGAUGUCAUUAAUUUGGUGUCGUGGGGAAUCAGGACUGUUACUUUGAAAAAAUUAGAGUGUUUAAAGCAAGCAUUAGCUUGAAUACAUUAGCAUGGAAUAAUGAAAUAGGACGUUUGAUCCUAUUUCGUUGGUUUCUAGGAUCGACGUAAUGAUUAAUAGGGAUAGUUGGGGGCAUUAGUAUUCAAUUGUCAGAGGUGAAAUUCUUGGAUUUAUUGAAGACUAACUACUGCGAAAGCAUUUGCCAAGGUAUGUUUUCAUUAAUCAAGAACGAAAGUUAGGGGAUCGAAGACGAUCAGAUACCGUCGUAGUCUUAACCAUAACUAAUGCCGACUAGGGAUCGGAUGAGUGUUAAGUUUUUAAUGUACGUACAUUC